RNAcentral lists this ribosomal RNA (424 nucleotides) under uncultured bacterium. RNAcentral's name for it is "bacterial SSU rRNA". It matches the Rfam family "Bacterial small subunit ribosomal RNA", at positions 355 to 772 of the family's 1533-position model. The record is from RNAcentral.
UGGGGAAUAUUGGACAAUGGGCGAAAGCCUGAUCCAGCAAUGCCGCGUGUGUGAAGAAGGCCUGCGGGUUGUAAAGCACUUUCAGUGGGGACCAAAAAGCGUGACCUAACACGUCUCGCCUUGAGUUAACCCAUAGAAGAAGCACCGGCUAACUCUGUGCCAGCAGCCGCGGUAAUACAGAGGGUGCAAGCGUUAAUCGGAAUUACUGGGCGUAAAGCGCACGCAGGCGGCGUUCCAAGUCGGAUGUGAAAGCCCCGGGCUUAACCUGGGAAUCGCAUUCGAAACUAGUUCGCUAGAGUGUGGUAGAGGGAAGUGGAAUUCCAGGUGUAGCGGUGAAAUGCGUAGAUAUCUGGAGGAACAUCAGUGGCGAAGGCGACUUCCUGGACCAACACUGACGCUCAGGUGCGAAAGCGUGGGGAGCAAA